This is a non-coding RNA of Pseudonaja textilis, 123 nucleotides long. The record is from RefSeq and is a predicted model, not a curated record. NCBI's taxonomy places the organism in Eukaryota, Metazoa, Chordata, Lepidosauria, Squamata, Elapidae.
CAUUUAGGGAUAAUGGGUUAGGUGUGGCCAGAAUUAGAACUGCGUAUAGGCCUGGGUGCGGUGGGGUGUGUCUCACGAUAAUGGCAAUGACAGGGAGCAAACUCAAACCCAAGGCUAACCUUG